AGCCUGAUGCAGCAACGCCGCGUGAGGGACGACGGCCUUCGGGUUGUAAACCUCUUUUAGCAGGGAAGAAGCGAAAGUGACGGUACCUGCAGAAAAAGCACCGGCUAACUACGUGCCAGCAGCCGCGGUAAUACGUAGGGUGCAAGCGUUAUCCGGAAUUAUUGGGCGUAAAGAGCUCGUAGGCGGUUUGUCGCGUCUGCUGUGAAAACUGGGGGCUCAACCCCCAGCCUGCAGUGGGUACGGGCAGACUAGAGUGCGGUAGGGGAGAUUGGAAUUCCUGGUGUAGCGGUGGAAUGCGCAGAUAUCAGGAGGAACACCGAUGGCGAAGGCAGAUCUCUGGGCCGUAACUGACGCUGAGGAGCGAAAGGGUGGGGAGCAAACAGGCUUAGAUACCCUGGUAGUCCACCCCGUAAACGUUGGGAACUAGUUGUGGGGUCCAUUCCACGGAUUCCGUGACGCAGCUAACGCAUUAAGUUCCCCGCCUGGGGAGUACGGCCGCAAGGCUAAAACUCAAAGGAAUUGACGGGGACCCGCACAAGCGGCGGAGCAUGCGGAUUAAUUCGAUGCAACGCGAAGAACCUUACCAAGGCUUGACAUAUACGAGAACGCUGCAGAAAUGUAGAACUCUUUGGACACU
Molecule: ribosomal RNA, 637 nt
Filed under: Microbacterium sp. Se1Pw_3106
Lineage: Bacteria; Bacillati; Actinomycetota; Actinomycetes; Micrococcales; Microbacteriaceae
Description: bacterial SSU rRNA
Rfam family: Bacterial small subunit ribosomal RNA
Source: RNAcentral